AACGAACGCUGGCGGCGUGCCUAACACAUGCAAGUCGUGCGAGAAAGUUCCUUCGGGAGCGAGUAAAGCGGCGCACGGGUGAGUAACACGUAGGUAACCUGCCCCCCAGUCUGGAACAACUAGAGGAAACUCUAGCUAAUGCCGGAUGAGACCACGAUCCCUUCGGGGGUUGCGGCCAAAGAUGGCCUCUACUUGUAAGCUAUCGCUGAGGGAUCGGGGCCUGCGGGCCAUUAGCUUGUUGGUGAGGUAACGGCUCACCAAGGCUGUGAUGGCUAGCUGGUCUGAGAGGAUGACCAGCCACACUGGGACUGAGACACGGCCCAGACUCCUACGGGAGGCAGCAGUGGGGAAUAUUGCGCAAUGGGCGAAAGCCUGACGCAGCGACGCCGCGUGGGUGAUGAAGGCC
This 406-nucleotide ribosomal RNA is filed under the name uncultured bacterium. RNAcentral's name for it is "bacterial SSU rRNA". It matches the Rfam family "Bacterial small subunit ribosomal RNA", at positions 29 to 416 of the family's 1533-position model. The record is from RNAcentral.